This is a long non-coding RNA of Asterias rubens (European starfish), 417 nucleotides long. RefSeq lists it as uncharacterized. Lineage: Eukaryota; Metazoa; Echinodermata; Asteroidea; Forcipulatida; Asteriidae. The transcript has 2 exons. The record is from RefSeq and is a predicted model, not a curated record.
UAGGGCAAGACCCAUUAUUUUUUGAGACAUCUGUUGCCACAAAACCUAGGCAGCUCAGCAAAUUGAACCACCACCAAUCCACCAAAUCACCAAUCACUAGACUACAGUACCAACCACCAACUACCGCCAUCUAAUCAAAGUAAUUAUCGUCAACCUACCAGUAUAAUACUACCGCCAUCCAGUAAGUUAAUUGCCACCUCUAUUUCGCCAGUCAACCGUCAACACUAAUUAGUAAUCUUGUAUACAAUCAGAACUCAAUCGUCAAAUCAAAGUUUAUUCGUCACAGUAAUUAUAAAGUAAUUCUACCAGCGGAUCAAGAACAAUAAAGAAAGUUUUACAAUUAAUUUGGUGCGUCUCAUUGCUGAGUAAAAUAUUCCUGAACUUAAGUAAAACGACGAUCUGUAGCAUCACAGGCUA